This is a non-coding RNA of Felis catus (domestic cat), 47 nucleotides long. NCBI's taxonomy places the organism in Eukaryota, Metazoa, Chordata, Mammalia, Carnivora, Felidae. The record is from Rfam.
AAAAAGGCCCUUUUCAGGGCCGCCCACGUUUUUCACGAAAGAUCUGU